This 442-nucleotide ribosomal RNA is filed under the name uncultured bacterium. RNAcentral describes it as "partial 16S ribosomal RNA". It matches the Rfam family "Bacterial small subunit ribosomal RNA", at positions 338 to 795 of the family's 1533-position model. The record is from RNAcentral.
CCUACGGGAGGCAGCAGUGGGGAAUAUUGGGCAAUGGGCGCAAGCCUGACCCAGCAACGCCGCGUGAAGGAAGAAGGCUUUCGGGUUGUAAACUUCUUUUGUCAGGGAAGAGUAGAAGACGGUACCUGACGAAUAAGCCACGGCCAACUACGUGCCAGCAGCCGCGGUAAUACGUAGGUGGCAAGCGUUGUCCGGAUUUACUGGGUGUAAAGGGCGUGUAGCCGGGUUGACAAGUCAGAUGUGAAAUCCUGCGGCUUAACCGCAGAACUGCAUUUGAAACUGUUGUUCUUGAGUACUGGAGAGGCAGACGGAAUUCCGAGUGUAGCGGUGAAAUGCGUAGAUAUUAGGAGGAACACCAGUGGCGAAGGCGGUCUGCUGGACAGCAACUGACGGUGAGGCGCGAAAGCGUGGGGAGCAAACAGGAUUAGAUACCCUAGUAGUC